This 23-nucleotide small nuclear RNA is filed under the name Arabidopsis thaliana (thale cress). RNAcentral's name for it is "snRNA_10709". The record is from RNAcentral. Lineage: Eukaryota; Viridiplantae; Streptophyta; Magnoliopsida; Brassicales; Brassicaceae.
ACACACACAAGAGACGAUUACAA